GCCGAAGUGAUGGAAUUGGCAGACUUGACGGACUCAAUAUCCGUUGCCGGCACCGGCGUGCGGGUUCGACCCCCGCCUUCGGCA
This 84-nucleotide transfer RNA is filed under the name Oscillospiraceae bacterium. RNAcentral describes it as "tRNA-Leu". It matches the Rfam family "tRNA". From Rfam's summary of the family: Transfer RNA (tRNA) molecules are approximately 80 nucleotides in length. Their secondary structure includes four short double-helical elements and three loops (D, anti-codon, and T loops). Further hydrogen bonds mediate the characteristic L-shaped molecular structure. tRNAs have two regions of fundamental functional importance: the anti-codon, which is responsible for specific mRNA codon recognition, and the 3' end, to which the tRNAs corresponding amino acid is attached (by aminoacyl-tRNA synthetases). tRNAs cope with the degeneracy of the genetic code in two manners: having more than one tRNA (with a specific anti-codon) for a particular amino acid; and 'wobble' base-pairing, i.e. permitting non-standard base-pairing at the 3rd anti-codon position. Lineage: Bacteria; Bacillati; Bacillota; Clostridia; Eubacteriales; Oscillospiraceae. The record is from RNAcentral.